GACGAACGCUGGCGGCGUGCUUAACACAUGCAAGUCGAACGGAAAGGCCCUGCGUUUGUGGGGUGCUCGAGUGGCGAACGGGUGAGUAACACGUGAGUAACCUGCCCUUGACUUUGGGAUAACUUCAGGAAACUGGGGCUAAUACCGGAUAGGAGCUCCUGCUGCAUGGUGUGGGUUGGAAAGUUUCGGCGGUUGGGGAUGGACUCGCGGCUUAUCAGCUUGUUGGUGGGGUAGUGGCUUACCAAGGCUUUGACGGGUAGCCGGCCUGAGAGGGUGACCGGCCACAUUGGGACUGAGAUACGGACCAGACUCCUACGGGAGGCAGCAGUGGGGAAUAUUGCACAAUGGGCGGAAGCCUGAUGCAGCAACGCCGCGUGCGGGAUGACGGCCUUCGGGUUGUAAACCGCUUUCGCCUGUGACGAAGCGUGAGUGACGGUAAUGGGUAAAGAAGCACCGGCUAACUACGUG
RNAcentral lists this ribosomal RNA (468 nucleotides) under uncultured bacterium. RNAcentral describes it as "partial 16S ribosomal RNA". It matches the Rfam family "Bacterial small subunit ribosomal RNA", at positions 28 to 507 of the family's 1533-position model. The record is from RNAcentral.